GUACUGCUGACGAGUCCCAAACUAGGACGAAACAGCUGUCCAGUAC
Trichobilharzia regenti is the source of this 46-nucleotide non-coding RNA. Lineage: Eukaryota; Metazoa; Platyhelminthes; Trematoda; Strigeidida; Schistosomatidae. The record is from Rfam.